AGAGUUUGAUCAUGGCUCAGAUUGAACGCUGGCGGCAGGCCUAACACAUGCAAGUCGAACGGUAACAGGAAGCAGCUUGCUGCUUUGCUGACGAGUGGCGGACGGGUGAGUAAUGUCUGGGAAACUGCCUGAUGGAGGGGGAUAACUACUGGAAACGGUAGCUAAUACCGCAUAACGUCGCAAGACCAAAGAGGGGGACCUUAGGGCCUCUUGCCAUCGGAUGUGCCCAGAUGGGAUUAGCUAGUAGGUGGGGUAACGGCUCACCUAGGCGACGAUCCCUAGCUGGUCUGAGAGGAUGACCAGCCACACUGGAACUGAGACACGGUCCAGACUCCUACGGGAGGCAGCAGUGGGGAAUAUUGCACAAUGGGCGCAAGCCUGAUGCAGCCAUGCCGCGUGUAUGAAGAAGGCCUUCGGGUUGUAAAGUACUUUCAGCGGGGAGGAAGGGAGUAAAGUUAAUACCUUUGCUCAUUGACGUUACCCGCAGAAGAAGCACCGGCUAACUCCGUGCCAGCAGCCGCGGUAAUACGGAGGGUGCAAGCGUUAAUCGGAAUUACUGGGCGUAAAGCGCACGCAGGCGGUUUGUUAAGUCAGAUGUGAAAUCCCCGGGCUCAACCUGGGAACUGCAUCUGAUACUGGCAAGCUUGAGUCUCGUAGAGGGGGGUAGAAUUCCAGGUGUAGCGGUGAAAUGCGUAGAGAUCUGGAGGAAUACCGGUGGCGAAGGCGGCCCCCUGGACGAAGACUGACGCUCAGGUGCGAAAGCGUGGGGAGCAAACAGGAUUAGAUACCCUGGUAGUCCACGCCGUAAACGAUGUCGACUUGGAGGUUGUGCCCUUGAGGCGUGGCUUCCGGAGCUAACGCGUUAAGUCGACCGCCUGGGGAGUACGGCCGCAAGGUUAAAACUCAAAUGAAUUGACGGGGGCCCGCACAAGCGGUGGAGCAUGUGGUUUAAUUCGAUGCAACGCGAAGAACCUUACCUGGUCUUGACAUCCACGGAAGUUUUCAGAGAUGAGAAUGUGCCUUCGGGAACCGUGAGACAGGUGCUGCAUGGCUGUCGUCAGCUCGUGUUGUGAAAUGUUGGGUUAAGUC
This 1089-nucleotide ribosomal RNA is filed under the name Escherichia coli. RNAcentral describes it as "bacterial SSU rRNA". It matches the Rfam family "Bacterial small subunit ribosomal RNA", at positions 8 to 1086 of the family's 1533-position model. Lineage: Bacteria; Pseudomonadati; Pseudomonadota; Gammaproteobacteria; Enterobacterales; Enterobacteriaceae. The record is from RNAcentral.